RNAcentral lists this transfer RNA (62 nucleotides) under Mangifera indica (mango). RNAcentral's name for it is "partial tRNA-Leu". Lineage: Eukaryota; Viridiplantae; Streptophyta; Magnoliopsida; Sapindales; Anacardiaceae. RNAcentral also lists the same sequence under 28 other names. The record is from RNAcentral.
UACGGACUUAAAAAAUCCGUCGACUUUAGAAAUCGUGAGGGUUCAAGUCCCUCUAUCCCCAA